GAUGAACGCUGGCGGCGUGCCUAAUACAUGCAAGUCGAGCGAACAGACGAGGAGCUUGUUCCUCUGACGUUAGCGACGGACGGGUGAGUAACACGUGGAUAGCAUCCCUAUAAGACUGGGGUAACUUCGAGAAACCGGAGCUAAUAGCGGAUAAUAUAUUGAGCCGCAUGGUUCAAUAGUGAAUGACGGUUUUGCUGUCACUUAUAGAUGGAUCCGCGCCGCUUUAGCUAGUUGGUAAGGUAACGACUUACAACCGCAACGGUGCGUAGCCGACCUGAGAGAUGGUUCGGCGCUAGUGGGACUGAGAGACCGGCCAGACUCCUACGGGGAGCAGCAGUAGGGAAUCUCGCGCGAUGGGCGAAAGCCUGACGGAGCAACGCGGGGUGGGUGAUGAAGGUAUUGGGAUCGUAAAACACUGUGAUUAGGGAAGAACAGAUGUGUAAGUAACUGUGGACGUCUUGACGGUACCUGAGCAGAAAGCCACGGCUAACUACGUG
Molecule: ribosomal RNA, 497 nt
Filed under: uncultured bacterium
Lineage: Bacteria
Description: partial 16S ribosomal RNA
Rfam family: Bacterial small subunit ribosomal RNA
Source: RNAcentral